GAUAAACGCUGGCGGCGUGCCUAACACAUGCAAGUCGAACGCCCUUUUGCGCAAGUGAGAGGGAGUGGCGGACGGGUGAGUACCACGUGGGUACCUACCUUGAGGUGAGGAAUACCACCGAGAAAUCGGUGACAAGACCGCAUACGCUUGGCAACAAGCAAAGUCUCGCAAGAGACGCCACAAGAUGGGCCUGCGCCUGAUUAGCUAGUUGGUGAGGUAAUGGCNCACCAAGGCGACGAUCAGUAGCUGGUCUGAGAGGAUGAUCAGCCACACUGGGAUUGAGAACGGCCCAGACUCCGUACGGGGNGG
Molecule: ribosomal RNA, 309 nt
Filed under: uncultured bacterium
Lineage: Bacteria
Description: bacterial SSU rRNA
Rfam family: Bacterial small subunit ribosomal RNA
Source: RNAcentral